UGUGGCAUGGUUAUGGAAGAGGUUUUUGCAGCCAGAAUAUUGGUGUAACUCCUUUUGGACUCAACAAGCUACCUAGUGGCUUAACCUACUACUGAAGGUCAGGAGAAUAUCAUUCAUCUUCCACAAUGCUCAUACAUCACCAGCUACACUUCUGGAGUUAUCAUGGAAUGUGAAACUGUGAGAACAUCCCAAGCAGGUAGAACUUAAUCCUCAGGCACAGCCUGCCUGAAAAGUUGGAGAUCAUAGAGACAAGAUGAGAUUCGGAUGCAGAGUC
RNAcentral lists this long non-coding RNA (274 nucleotides) under Junco hyemalis (dark-eyed junco). RNAcentral's name for it is "lncRNA (ENSJHYG00000002587.1)". Lineage: Eukaryota; Metazoa; Chordata; Aves; Passeriformes; Passerellidae. The record is from RNAcentral.